UACGUAGGCAGCAAGCGUUGUUCGGAAUUACUGGGCGUAAAGAGUGUGUAGGCGGUGUUCUAAGUCUGGUGUGAAAUCUCCCGGCUCAACUGGGAGGGUGCGCUAGAAACUGGAAUGCUAGAGGAUGGGAGAGGUAAGCGGAAUUCCUGGUGUAGCGGUGAAAUGCGUAGAUAUCAGGAGGAACACCGGUGGCGAAGGCGGCCCUCUGGACGGAUACUGACGCUGAGACGCGACAGCGUGGGGAGCAAACAGG
This 253-nucleotide ribosomal RNA is filed under the name uncultured prokaryote. RNAcentral describes it as "partial 16S ribosomal RNA". It matches the Rfam family "Bacterial small subunit ribosomal RNA", at positions 524 to 776 of the family's 1533-position model. The record is from RNAcentral.